Molecule: ribosomal RNA, 1443 nt
Filed under: uncultured bacterium
Lineage: Bacteria
Description: bacterial SSU rRNA
Rfam family: Bacterial small subunit ribosomal RNA
Source: RNAcentral
GACGAACGCUGGCGGCGUGCUUAACACAUGCAAGUCGAACGGUGAUCCGGGUACUUGUACCUGGUGAUCAGUGGCGAACGGGUGAGUAACACGUGAGUAACCUGCCCUUCACUCUGGGAUAACUCCGGGAAACCGGGGCUAAUACCGGAUAUGACACCAAUCCGCAUGGGUAUGGUGUGGAAAGUUUUUCGGUGGAGGAUGGACUCGCGGCCUAUCAGCUUGUUGGUGAGGUAAUGGCUCACCAAGGCGACGACGGGUAGCCGGCCUGAGAGGGCGUCCGGCCACACUGGGACUGAGACACGGCCCAGACUCCUACGGGAGGCAGCAGUGGGGAAUAUUGCACAAUGGGCGAAAGCCUGAUGCAGCGACGCCGCGUGAGGGAUUAAGGCCUUCGGGUUGUAAACCUCUUUCAGCAGGGAAGAAGCGCAAGUGACGGUACCUGCAGAAGAAGCACCGGCUAACUACGUGCCAGCAGCCGCGGUAAUACGUAGGGUGCGAGCGUUGUCCGGAAUUAUUGGGCGUAAAGAGCUUGUAGGCGGUUUGUCGCGUCUGCUGUGAAAUCUCAAGGCUCAACCUUGAGCUUGCAGUGGGUACGGGCAGACUAGAGUGUGGUAGGGGAGACUGGAAUUCCUGGUGUAGCGGUGAAAUGCGCAGAUAUCAGGAGGAACACCGAUGGCGAAGGCAGGUCUCUGGGCCACUACUGACGCUGAGAAGCGAAAGCAUGGGGAGCGAACAGGAUUAGAUACCCUGGUAGUCCAUGCCGUAAACGUUGGGAACUAGGUGUGGGCCUCAUUCCACGAGGUCCGUGCCGCAGCUAACGCAUUAAGUUCCCCGCCUGGGGAGUACGGCCGCAAGGCUAAAACUCAAAGGAAUUGACGGGGGCCCGCACAAGCGGCGGAGCAUGCGGAUUAAUUCGAUGCAACGCGAAGAACCUUACCAAGGCUUGACAUAUACCGGAAAAGUGCAGAGAUGUGCUCCCCGCAAGGUCGGUAUACAGGUGGUGCAUGGUUGUCGUCAGCUCGUGUCGUGAGAUGUUGGGUUAAGUCCCGCAACGAGCGCAACCCUCGUUCUAUGUUGCCAGCACGUGAUGGUGGGGACUCAUAGGAGACUGCCGGGGUCAACUCGGAGGAAGGUGGGGAUGACGUCAAAUCAUCAUGCCCCUUAUGUCUUGGGCUUCACGCAUGCUACAAUGGCCAGUACAAAGGGCUGCGAGACCGUAAGGUGGAGCGAAUCCCAAAAAACUGGUCUCAGUUCGGAUUGGGGUCUGCAACUCGACCCAUGAAGUCGGAGUCGCUAGUAAUCGCAGAUCAGCAACGCUGCGGUGAAUACGUUCCCGGGCCUUGUACACACCGCCCGUCAAGUCACGAAAGUUGGUAACACCCGAAGCCGGUGGCCUAACUCGUAAGAGGAGGAGCCGUCGAAGGUGGGACUGGCGAUUGGGAC